Long non-coding RNA from Ostrinia nubilalis (European corn borer), 1553 nucleotides. RefSeq lists it as uncharacterized. The record is from RefSeq and is a predicted model, not a curated record. The transcript is spliced from 2 exons. NCBI's taxonomy places the organism in Eukaryota, Metazoa, Arthropoda, Insecta, Lepidoptera, Crambidae.
GCACUAAGCUGUCAAAUGAGUUAUUGAGGUUAUCUUUACAAACUUUCGGCAAUAACUUGACUUUCUGCUCAACAGAUAUGCUAAAUGAAUACCAAUCACAAUUGUUUAGAAUAUAUUUACGCAAGGGAGGAAGUGGAUCUACAGAACGGUUGUUCUUUGGUAACGUAAUGACAAUCGGAACAUGGUCACUACCAUAAGUGGAUGAUAAACAUCUCCAACUCAGACUCAAAGAUAGCGUAGGUGAACAAAGUGAGAUAUCGACAAAACUUAAAGAUUGGCCGGGACAGGGUCUCCUUGUUGCUGAACCAUCGUUUAAAACGCACAGAUUUAACUCGUCUAUAAGCUCCACAAGAUCACUACCAAAUGAAUCAUUGACUGGUGCACCCCAAAGAGAAUGGUGUGCAUUAAAAUCACCUAAAAUUAACACAGGCGCAGGAAGAGAUAGGAUUAAAUUUCUUAAAAUCGGAAUAACAGAUGAAUCUUUGCAAGAAAUGUAUACAGACAGUACUGAAAUAUCCCCAAUUUUUGCAGCUACUGCAUUCAAGUGAUUAUUAUUGUAGGAAGGAAGUGCUAGUGAUGUAAAUAAGUUUUGAAGGUGAAGGUGAUUUGGGAGAACUAGCUGUGACAUCUGAGUAUGACUUAGUGAAUGGAAACUGUUUAGAGGCUUCUAGAUAUGAUACUGUGUUAACUGACAUAUAAUGCUUUAUGUUUUUUUGUCGUAUAAAUUCAGGACAGGUUUGUUCAUUUGCUUGAUGUUUCCCUGCACAAUUAAUGCAGGAAACAUCUGUCUCGUCGCAAUUAGAGCCUGAGUGGUCCCCGGUGCAUUUAAAGCACCUGGGUUUGCUUCUGCAUUGAACCCUGGUAUGUCCAAAACGACAACAGUUAAAACACUGAAUUGUUGGGAAUAUGUACUGGUCAACAGGCAGUGAGGAAAAAAAGGAAUAAAUUCGGGGAGGAAGAGCUUGACCAUCGAAUGUAAGGACUACCGUCUGAGUGGGCAACCAUUUAGGGCCUUCAAGUGAUGUAACUUUGCGGCUUAGCCGGCGAGACCGAAUGAUUGGACCAAAGCCUUCAGGAACUCUUAAAUUUCCUACAAUCUCUUCAUGCGACCAUUCGCAGGGAAUGCCUUUGACAAUGCCCAUUUUGGUGAUAUUGUAUGUUGGGAUAGAUAAAACAUAAUCAUGUAAUAUAAUUGGAUUACACAAAAAUGAGUUUGCCGCACCAGGUGUUUUGAAUGUCACUGCCAAUCGAUUUCGCCCUAUUCGUUUAAUGCCAUCAUCCAAAAUAUUUUUUAAAUUAUUUCUGAAUAGAAAAUUCCCAAAUUUGAUGGGGUGAAGAGUGGAGCCAGAGUUGGGAGUUUCUUUUUGUUGGACAUGUACCAGAAAAGGACCUGCAUCCUGAUCCUGGUAAUUGUUUCUGCCUAUUAUAUGGUUAUUCUGUUGAGAAUGUUGGAUCACCGGAGCUGGAGGAGCUUGCGUUAAAAUUUCUUGAAAAGCAGUGGUAAUGUGCAUUUUAGGAGAGGAUUUGGUCUUUAAUAAAUGUUUGUUAAUUUU